GAUAAGGUCAUAAUUUCACACAUUUGCAUGCCUUCUUUGCUUAGUAAUUUUGUUUAGUUUCUCUUUAUUUUGAGUCUCUUACCUAUGUUUGUGUGUUUUGUAGGUUAGGACAGCAAGGGGAUCACAUUUGAUACAAUUCAUGCAUGUUAAGGGUUGAUUAGCACAAGAGGAAUAUGAGCUUAAUGACAGAACCAAUUUGGGCCACACUCCUUGUCAGUCCAAAUUCGUGGGUCAUCUUGCAGGCCUCAUUUCAGCAACCUACACUACUUGGAUGAGGAGACAUGCUUCACAGACGUUGUUCCAAUGGGUGUCUAGUAUAACAUAUCCAAAUUUCAGCCCAAUUAAUGAUAGCUAGAGUCCUUGGCCUGUCAAACACUGAACCAUGCUCUAGGAGGAUUUUAAUAUGUAGCUGCCAGCUGGUGAGCCUUGUACUCCACACCUCCCUUGAGCCAUGUGCCUCACUUCAUCAUUGUUUGACUUUGGACCUGACAUGUUGAGCAAAUUAGGGAGGCAUUUCAGUUAUGGAAGUCAAAAAGGAGCAAAACAUGGCAUGCUUAAUUAUGGAUCUUGUCUGCACAAAUCAAGGACCAUUUUUCAGGAAUUCUGGUAGGCUACACAUGGGAGACAAAUCAGUAUGGGAAGUCAAAAAGAUGAACAAAAGUCAAGCUUUCCAUAAAGAAACCAAGAAAAGUCCACCAAAGCAUUUAUUGGGCAGUUGGAAAAGUUGGCAUUUAUUGGGCAGCUUAGGCAAUUGGGAGCAGCUAAGAGAGGUGUGUUUCACCAGCCAAAGGGGAGCACGAAAUUGCACUCUAUAAAUAGAGAGUUGCACACUCAUUCAAAAGAGAGAGGGCAGACACACACAUUCACUUCAUCCAUUACUCUCAUACACAUUCAGAUUCACCACAAAGAGAGAAGGGAGCUUGGAGCUGUCCUGGGAACUACCUUGCUGCCACCAUCUAGUUCUUCUCCUCUCUUUAUCCUAUCUAUGUAUUUCUUAUUUUCUGUAUUCAUAGUUAUGUCUAACUAAUCCAUUUAGUUAGGGCUUAGGAUGAAGCCCUAGUCAUGAAUAUUCAAUGGUAUGGAUGAUUUUAUAGUUAAUUGAUUUCCUUGCUUUUAUUAUCAAGUUGUUAAUCUCCAGUUUAUUAUGUGCUUGAUGUAUGUUUUCUUGGAGUAGCUAACUAGGAUUUUAUGCAUCUAGCACAGGUUGGGAAGGGGUUUAGAUUCACCAAUUCUACUCUCCUUUCACAAGCAACACAUGAAUGGCCUAAGAAUCAUUCAAGGGGUUAACAACCAUAGGUUGACUAGGACAAAUACCAUGUUCUAGGACUUGUGUGAUUAUCAUAUUCUCAAGGAGCUUAAUGACUCUUGUAUGCUUUAUUCUAAGUAGAUACCAUGCUUAGGUUGCAUAUUAGAGAUCACGUGCUGUGUAGAUACCAUGCACAAUCACAUGCCUUAGGAGAAUGAUGCAUCCUGCACCUAGAUACCAUAGGCUUGUAUGCGAUAAUCUAUUGUUGAUGAAGCUUGAGUCAAUUUCUGUGCAUUCAUAACUUGGAUAGGAAGACUAGUGGCAGAUUCCAAGGCUCUAACACCUCUCCAUCAUUGUUUUACAACUUGUUCAUUGCUGCUAGUGUUUACUUUCGAGCACUUUCAUUUCACUUUCUUGUUUUCAUUUCAACAACAAAACCCCCCAUUUCGAGUGCGUGUGUGGUGCUAGGAUUCUGUCCUAGACCUUGAGUAAUUAGCAAGAGGCAUUGUUGAAUUUGACCUUGCCUUUAGCUAGUUAGUCAUUUUCUUUGUUCUAUGUUUUUCUAGCAUUCUAAGUAAUUUAACUUGGAACCAAGUUACCAUUCUCCGUGGGAUCGACCUCGUAUUUACAUAAGCUAUACUAUAAACGGUUCGUGCACUUGCGAGAAUUAAAGUUGCUGUUUUUAAUAACUCAUUUUAGUUGUUAAGAAUAGGCGCAACAAGUUUUUGGCGCCGUUGCCGGGGAACCGGUAAUGAUGGUGCUAUAGUUAGAUUACUUUGAUUGUUUUGUUUUUGUUUGUUUCAUUUGUUUCUUUUCGUUGGUUUUUCUUUUAGUAUUCAGCUUUUGUAUUUUGUUGUUAUCUCCAUUGAAAGCACUGAAUUGACUUCCUUGGUGUGUGCAUGUCCGAAUCUGAGCAGGAGCAAAGUUGACCUGAGCCACUUUCACCAAGAACCGCUGCUGUGCGUGCUGGUUUGAGGAGGAAUUAUAGUUCUUCAAGCGUUGAAUCUAAAAGUUACGAAUCUGAAGGUUCAAGCAACAUGGCAGAGAUUCCGAACAACAACAAUGAUGAAGGAGGUGGUGUGCUUGUUGUCCAACCAAGAAAACCCCUGCGUGAGUUUUCCAUUCCCAAAGUCACCGAUCAACCUUCAUGCAUCGUCUAUCCUCAACUCACAGUUGACAGGUUUGAGCUUAAAAGUGGUAUGAUUCAUCUUCUUCCAACUUAUUAUGGUAAUACCACUGAGGAUCCUUACAUGCAUAUUAAGCAAUUCUUUGAAAUAUGUGCUACGAUCAAAAUUCAAAACCUUGAUGAUGAGCAGAUUAAGAUGAGGCUAUUCCCAUUCAGUUUAAAAGAUAAGGCUAAGUCUUGGUUGUACUCUUUGCCUAAUGCUUCAAUUCAUACUUGGGAUGAGCUUUCUAAUAAGUUUUUGCAGAAAUUCUUUCCAGCUCAAAAGACUAACAAGAUUAGAAAGGAAAUUCUUGGUUUCACACAAAGAGAAGGAGAAGCUUUUCAUGAAUGUUGGGAGAGGUACAAGGAGAUGAUAAGUUCUUGCCCACACCACAACAUAGAGAGUUGGAUGCAAAUGCAAUCUUUCUAUGAAGGUUUGCUUGAUUCCGAAAGGAUGAUGGUAGAUGCAACAAGUGGAGAAGGACUGAUGAACAAAACAGCAGAUGAGGCUUUUACUCUCUUUGAAUCCUUGAGUGCUAACUCUCAACAAUGGAGCCACAAUAAAGGAAGAGGAGCUCCUAUGAAAGCUGUGGUCUCUGAGGUAAGUACUAAUAAUGAGAUUGCUGCAAAACUUGAUGUUAUGUGUUCUUUGCUCCAACAGGCAGUGACUGGCCCUCUAGGAAACAAAGUGGAAGUUCAAGGCCAAUCUUUUGCAGAGCACAUGCUAGAACAAGCAAAUGCCCUUCAAGCAAGGAAUCCUAAUAAUGAUCCUUACUCAAACACAUACAAUCCGGGGUGGAGAAAUCAUCCUAAUUUCAGGUGGAGCAAUAAUUCGAAUGUGCAACAAUCUCAAGGACCUCCCCCAGGAUUCCAAACACAACAAAGGCAAUUCCAGCAAGCUCCCCAACAAGUGCAAGAGCAAAGGGGUGAUCAAAUGGGAGAAUUGCAAGACAUGUUCAAGAAGUUCAUGGGGCAACAGAUGCAAACCAAUCAGAAUCUUCAAAAUGCAGUGAACAAACUAGAAGUGCAAGUUGGGCAGAUUGCAUCCUCCAUGAGCCAUAGAGCAUCCGGAACUUUUCCGAGCCAAACAGAGGUGAAUCCAAGGCAUCAUGAGCAAGUUAAAGUAGUGCACAUCUUGAGAAGUGGUAAACAAGUUGAUAAUAAGGUUGGAGAUGCCAAUGGAGAGCAAGAAGAUGGAGAAAACGUGGAGAUCAUUCAGCCACCACAAGGGCAGCCCACAGCUUCCAACAAACAGUCCCUCAAUCUUUCUGGAAAGAGCACAGGCCCUAAGGUAUCAUGUAAUGCUAAUCAAGUUCCAAUUUCAACUAAUGCUUUUAGGCCUAUUGCACCCUUUCCCAGCAUGUUAUCAAAGUCAAAGAAAGAUCAAGGCAUGGAUGAGAUAAUGGAAACAUUCAAGAAGGUGCAAAUCAACAUCCCAUUGCUCAAUGCUAUUGCUCAGAUUCCAAAGUAUGCAAAAUUUUUGAAGGAUCUAUGCACUAACAAGAGGAGAUUCAAAGAGCAUGAACAAGUUGCAUUGAGUGAAGAGGUAAGUGCAGUUUUACAAAGAAAGCUACCUCCAAAGCUAAAGGAUCCAGGUUCGUUUUCUAUACCUUGCAUUGUUGGUGAUUUCAAGAUUCCAAAAGCUUUGCUUGAUCUCGGUGCAUCCAUUAACCUUAUGCCAUAUCAUGUUUAUGAGAAACUUAACCUUGGUGAGUUGCAAGCCACAACUGUGAGCAUUCAAUUGGCAGAUAGAACUAUUCGGUAUCCCAAGGGCAUUCUAGAAGACGUUUUGGUGAACGUAGAAGGUUUAAUCUUGCCAGCUGAUUUCUUAGUCAUGGAGAUGGAAGAAGCACCAAUUCCUGACAAUGAAUUGCCCCUUAUCUUUGGCCGACCCUUCAUGGCUACUGCUAAGACCAAGAUUGAUGUAGAGCAAGGCACUCUCACCAUGACCGUUAAUGGAGAAACUGUUGCCUUCAAAGUGUUUGAUGCCCUAAAGCCAAAUGUUGUACAAGAUUGUUUUCAAAUUGAAGUAUUUGGUAAUCCAGGGAAAGAGAGAUUUGAUGGCCUUCCUUAUCCAGUAGAAUCAUGCUUGCUGAAAAGAGGAGACAAGGAGGAGUAGGGGGCAGCCCACAUGUUCAAUGCUCCAAUUCCCACACACAAGAAGGGGCUGCCCAAAUUUGGAGAUGUGAAUAUUCCAAUCAUUCCUACAAUUCAUUGUGACUCUAUUCAUCAACAGAAAAGGAAAAGAAAAGCAGCAAGGAAGCAAUGGAAAAGGAAAACAAACUUGGUGAACUCUCUUGCAUUGCAUGAGGUGUCAAUUGAGCCCAAACCCCCCCAUUCACUAUAGAAAGUUUGGACGUCUGGCUGAAGACGUGAAACUUAGCGCUUCUUGGGAGGCAAUCCAAGGUGACGAGGAGAAGAUAGAAUAUGCGAGGACGCUUGCUUGCGUCCUAAUCGCUUCAAAGGGGAGUUUUUCUGAAAUCUAACCUUUGGUUAUGUCUUUCCCUUGUCUUCUUUCCUUUCAUUUAUGAGGCAUUGCUUUUUCUUACACUCUAAACAUUGAGGACAAUGUUUCAUUUAAGUUUGGGGGGAAGGAUUUAGUUAUGUUGUUUCAAAUUGUCAAAUUUUAAAAUUUUUGAGUGUGUCUACUGUCUAAAAACGCAGGAUUUUGUGUCUUGUUUCGUUAUCCUUCCAAACACCUAUGAUAAAGACUUGGAUUUAAUACUAAUAUGGUUUUUCAGAAAUUGAUAGUCAUUGUUUAAGGACUUUGUGUGGUUCUGAGUUAACUCUGUCUUGCAUGCCAUCCUUGCACUUAUUGAGCACUUUGCCAAGUUAGUCCAACGUCUUGCUACUUAGAGACGUUAUGCAAUUCUACUUAUCUCAUGAUCUUGGUUUCGUACUCUAGAACUUAUUUGAAUAUUUCUUGAGACAUUUUGUUGCCAUACAAUGCUUAGGAAGUGAUUUAGGCCAUGUUUGAACCGUUUGAGCCUUUCCAACCAUCCCUUUACAUGUAUUCAUCCCUAGUCAUCCCAUUUGAGCCUACGUUAAGCCUUUCUUUGUGUAAACGAAUCCUACCAUAAUGAGCCUCUGUUUUCUUAUCCUUACUUAUUGUAUGAGCAAUUAAAGCUAUCUUCAAAAGAGAGUCAUAAAGAAUGCAAGGUUUAUAGAGCAAAAGUGAAUAAUUGGUGCCGUAACCCAAGUGUUGAAAAGAAAUAAGUUUGGGGGUAUUGGUAACUAAUCAAAAGAGGUAAUGAAGUGUGACCAAUGUAGUCACGGCCCUAGGGUGUUAUAAGGAGAACAUCAUGGUGAUCUAGGGUAAAGAGCCACAAAAUUAGGCCAAAUAAACACAUUUCAAGGUGCUGAAAUUAUGUUGAAAAUCUUCUCAUGUAUGUGUUCCUUGCUUGUUACAAAGUUCAGUACUCUCUUAUGCUCUUACCUGUGCUUUAAGUGUGCUCAAAAUAUUGUAUAUCUCAUAUCCCUUCUUUCAUUCAACCACUACCCUAAACCUCAUUACUACCCUUGUAAAGUCCUUUUGAUCCUUGGUGUUGCAUGGUAUUACUGUGGAGAGCAGAUUGGAUAAUGAGCUUAUGGGGUUCGGAAUUCUUGAUUUUGCUGUAAGUGUGUGCGCAUGUACUUAUUUGAGUUGCAGGUGUUGUUCGGAUUUGGCAUUCACACACUACACUUAAGGGUGUCAAUGCUAGCUUUGCUUUCUCGUGAAUCAUGUGUGGAACUUAGAUUGUGAUUGUUGUGUUUCUUUGGAACCAUAUACACUGAUGAUUCUUUGAGGAUAUUGUUUGGAAGGCUAGUUGCUUAUUUCCCGUUUCCUAAGUUGUAGUUUUAUUUUGUUUUGCUCGAGGACUAGCAAAAUCUAAGUUUGGGGGUAUUUGAUAAGGUCAUAAUUUCACACAUUUGCAUGCCUUCUUUGCUUAGUAAUUUUGUUUAGUUUCUCUUUAUUUUGAGUCUCUUACCUAUGUUUGUGUGUUUUGUAGGUUAGGACAGCAAGGGGAUCACAUUUGAUACAAUUCAUGCAUGUUAAGGGUUGAUUGGCACAAGAGGAAUAUGAGCUUAAUGACAGAACCAAUUUGGGCCACACUCCUUGUCAGUCCAAAUUCGUGGGUCAUCUUGCAGGCCUCAUUUCAGCAACCUACACUACUUGGAUGAGGAGACAUGCUUCACAGAAGUUGUUCCAAUGGGUGUCUAGUAUAACAUAUCCAAAUUUCAGCCCAAUUAAUGAUAGCUAGAGUCCUUGGCCUGUCAAACACUGAACCAUGCUCUAGGAGGAUUUUAAUAUGUAGCUGCCAGCUGGUGAGCCUUGUGCUCCACACCUCCCUUGAGCCAUGUGCCUCACUUCAUCAUUGUUUGACUUUGGACCUGACAUGUUGAGCAAAUUAGGGAGGCAUUUCAGUUAUGGAAGUCAAAAAGGAGCAAAACAUGGCAUGCUUAAUUAUGGAUCUUGUCUGCACAAAUCAAGGACCAUUUUCCAGGAAUUCUGGUAGGCUACACAUGGGAGACAAAUCAGUAUGGGAAGUCAAAAAGAUGAACAAAAGUCAAGCUUUCCAUAAAGAAACCAAGAAAAGUCCACCAAAGCAUUUAUUGGGCAGUUGGAAAAGUUGGCAUUUAUUGGGCAGCUUAGGCAAUUGGGAGCAGCUAAGAGAGGUGUGUUUCACCAGCCAAAGGGGAGCACGAAAUUGCACUCUAUAAAUAGAGAGUUGCACACUCAUUCAAAAGAGAGAGGGCAGACACACACAUUCACUUCAUCCAUUACUCUCAUACACAUUCAGAUUCACCACAAAGAGAGAAGGGAGCUUGGAGCUGUCCUGGGAACUACCUUGCUGCCACCAUCUAGUUCUUCUCCUCUCUUUAUCCUAUCUAUGUAUUUCUUAUUUUCUGUAUUCAUAGUUAUGUCUAACUAAUCCAUUUAGUUAGGGCUUAGGAUGAAGCCCUAGUCAUGAAUAUUCAAUGGUAUGGAUGAUUUUAUAGUUAAUUGAUUUCCUUGCUUUUAUUAUCAAGUUGUUAAUCUCCAG
Molecule: long non-coding RNA, 7435 nt
Filed under: Prunus persica (peach)
Lineage: Eukaryota; Viridiplantae; Streptophyta; Magnoliopsida; Rosales; Rosaceae
Description: long non-coding RNA (PPER_LNC004960)
Source: RNAcentral